CAAUCUUUUGAAGGAAGCGGUCUUAUUUUGUGGUUCAAGAGCGUAUGUUGAAGGAGAUAAUGUGCUGAAGACAAACCACCUUAUGUACGUGGGAAUAACUUCAAAAAAAGCAGAAGAAAAAAAAUAAUGUGCUUGUGCUUGAAAAACUCGGAUUUGGUUGGCCCACCACAUGAAAUUCAUUUAAUUAUUAAUGUAGCUAAUAAAAUAAAUAUAUCUUGCAUAUGUUCUUGCAAAACAGGCCAAUAUGACAAAUGUAAACACAGUAUUGCCUUAUUAAUGCACUUAAUUAGAACGACUGUUGAAGACAUCGAAGAAUCAAGCUGUACAGACGUUAAACAAAAGUGGGGAAAAUUUAAAAAAAAAUGCAAAAUUGAUGU
Long non-coding RNA from Nylanderia fulva, 377 nucleotides. RefSeq lists it as uncharacterized. NCBI's taxonomy places the organism in Eukaryota, Metazoa, Arthropoda, Insecta, Hymenoptera, Formicidae. The record is from RefSeq and is a predicted model, not a curated record.